Molecule: ribosomal RNA, 466 nt
Filed under: uncultured bacterium
Lineage: Bacteria
Description: partial 16S ribosomal RNA
Rfam family: Bacterial small subunit ribosomal RNA
Source: RNAcentral
GACGAACGCUGGCGGCGCGCCUAACACAUGCAAGUCGAACGAGCGAGAGAGAGCUUGCUUUCUCGAGCGAGUGGCGAGCGGGUGAGUAACGCGUGAGGAACCUGCCUCAAAGAGGGGGACAACAGUUGGAAACGACUGCUAAUACCGCAUAAGCCCACGGCUCGGCAUCGAGCCGGGGGAAAAGGAGCAAUCCGCUUUGAGAUGGCCUCGCGUCCGAUUAGCUAGUUGGUGAGGUAACGGCCCACCAAGGCGACGAUCGGUAGCCGGACUGAGAGGUUGAACGGCCACAUUGGGACUGAGACACGGCCCAGACUCCUACGGGAGGCAGCAGUGGGGAAUAUUGCAAAAUGGGGGAAACCCUGAUGCAGCGACGCCGCGUGGAGGAAGAAGGUCUUCGGAUUGUAAACUCCUGUUGUUGGGGAAGAUAAUGACGGUACCCAACAAGGAAGUGACGGCUAACUACGUG